AGAAAUACAUAGAAUAUAAAAUGCAAUAUACAGCUCUAAACGUGUGUGUGUGUGUGUGUGUGUUUAAUCACUGCAGGUCAUUUCUACAGUGAUGAGCAAUUCACCCAUAAUCAUCAUUAAAGAUUCACAUAUUGCAUUACCCAAGCAUUUAAAAGAACUUAUAGUGACUACAUUCCUAGAUAAUUGCUUCUCGCCUCUGAAAUGAGCCCUUGUGGCUUGGUGUCUGGCUGGUGGGUUUGUGAUUGUGGUGUAAACAGGAAGAUGAGAUACAGAACUAAACAGGAAAUGUAGAGUACUCGAGAUACACGUGACAGCCAGAAGGUACUGUGUUUAUUGACAGGUAUAUAAACAGCACAACAUUCUGUGACUAAAGGAGAUCCAGAGCAUGUCAAGAGAAUGAAAUGAAAUUCAGUUCAAUUCUAUUUUAGUUAGGCUUGUAUUCAAUGGAAAUACACUUCACUUCACUUCACUUUGCCUGUCCUGAUGUGAUCUGAUCUGAUGUGCAAGACAGGCGCUAGUAUUGAUACGUUCUGGAAUGCACCUAGUUCCUGCUUUCCGACCACAAACAGGACAGAGUUUGUCAUGUGCCCAACUCCAAAGGAGUGGAACCCAAUGUGGUCUUCUGCUGUUGCAUGCUGAGAUGCUUUUCUGCUCACCAUGGUUGUAAAGAGUGAUUAUAUGAGUUACUAUAUGAGCCCUUCCUGGCAGCUCGAACCACCUCCAAUCUGUCCAUUUCCCUCUGACCUUCUCUUAUCAACAAGGCAUUUGUUUCCACACAGAACUGUCACUCACUCAACUAAAUGUUUUUUGUUUUUCGCACCAUUCUGUGUAAACUCUAGAGACUGUUGUGUGUGAAAACCCCAGGAGAUCAGCAGUUUCUGAAAUACUCAAACCAGCCCAUCUGGCUCAAACCAACACCCAUGCCACAGUGAAAGAAAGUCACGCUUUGAGAUCACAAUUUUUCCCAUUCUGAUGUUUGAACAUUGUGAACAUGAAUGAACUGAAGCUCUUGAUUUGUAUCUGCAUGAUUUGAUGCAUCUAAUUGCUGAUUCGAGAACUGCAUCAAACAGCAGGUGGAUGGGGGUUUCCUAAUAAUACACUCCAGUGAGUGUAGAUUGUAUAAUUUCAAAUUAAAUGUAUUAUUAUUACUAUUAUUCAAUAAAUACUAAUGAUUAAAAAAUGAAGCAAAGUUAUGCGUGUUUUUUUA
Neoarius graeffei (lesser salmon catfish) is the source of this 1207-nucleotide long non-coding RNA. RefSeq lists it as uncharacterized. The transcript has 3 exons. The record is from RefSeq and is a predicted model, not a curated record. Lineage: Eukaryota; Metazoa; Chordata; Actinopteri; Siluriformes; Ariidae.